UUUUUUUUUAUUUUCUAUGCACAUUGGUUAUGUAUAGAAUAAACAAUAAUUUGUUCAGGGUAACUUAUGUCACACCGAUGUAUUAAGUGAUAUACAUUUAUUAUGAUAGAGUUUAGAAAGGUUUGUUGAUUUUUGAAAAGUAUUACUUCACAUAGAUCCAAGUAUGUGAAUAGUUAGCCUACCUCUACAUAAUUUGAAUAUUCGCAAGUUUAAACACGAUUCACAUUAUUAAUUAUUUCAUUUGUAUUAGCGAAAAGGACUUGUCACUGAUUAAUGACAGGUGGUUAGUGUCAAUUGUGAUUACAACUCUGCUAUUAUUGGUAUAAGGAAUAAAUAUUAUGAGUUUAAAAUUUGCUCUUUAAAAAAUUGAUAUAUCUAAUAUUCUAUAAAAUUGUAAUGAUUUACUUACAAGAGAGCAGAACUUACUACUGUUCAUAUUAAAUAUCUGUCGAUUUUAUCAUUUAAAUAAAAUAAAAUUAUUUCUUAUAACAUUAUUUGUAUUUUUAUUAUUUCUGCAGUUAACAAAUUUAAUAGUUAUA
Cinara cedri is the source of this 539-nucleotide non-coding RNA. The record is from the annotation of a GenBank genome assembly. Lineage: Eukaryota; Metazoa; Arthropoda; Insecta; Hemiptera; Aphididae.